GAGCAGGGACGAAAGUCGGGACUAGUGAUCCGGCAGUGGCUUGUGGAAGCGCUGUCGCUCAACGGAUAAAAGGUACCCCGGGGAUAACAGGCUGAUCUUCCCCAAGAGUCCAUAUCGACGGGAUGGUUUGGCACCUCGAUGUCGGCUCGUCGCAUCCUGGGGCUGGAGUCGGUCCCAAGGGUUGGGCUGUUCGCCCAUUAAAGCGGUACGCGAGCUGGGUUUAGAACGUCGUGAGACAGUUCGGUCCCUAUCCGCUGUGCGCGUAGGAAUAUUGAGAAGGGCUGUCCCUAGUACGAGAGGACCGGGACGGACGAACCUCUGGUGUGCCAGUUGUCCUGCCAAGGGCAUGGCUGGUUGGCUACGUUCGGAAAGGAUAACCGCUGAAAGCAUCUAAGCGGGAAGCCUGCUUCGAGAUGAGUAUUCCCACCAACUUGAUUGGUUAAGGCUCCCAGUAGACGACUGGGUUGAUAGGCCAGAUGUGGAAGCCCGGUAACGGGUGGAGCUGACUGGUACUAAUAGGCCGAGGGCUUGUCCUCAGUUG
Molecule: ribosomal RNA, 541 nt
Filed under: Streptomyces sp. SID6648
Lineage: Bacteria; Bacillati; Actinomycetota; Actinomycetes; Kitasatosporales; Streptomycetaceae
Description: partial 23S ribosomal RNA
Rfam family: Bacterial large subunit ribosomal RNA
Source: RNAcentral